Molecule: ribosomal RNA, 936 nt
Filed under: uncultured Bacillota bacterium
Lineage: Bacteria; Bacillati; Bacillota
Description: bacterial SSU rRNA
Rfam family: Bacterial small subunit ribosomal RNA
Source: RNAcentral
GGAUCCAGACUUUGAUCAUGGCUCAGGAUGAACGCUGGCGGCAUGCCUAAGACAUGCAAGUCGAACGAGAUGGCCCAGUGAAGGUUGAGUGCUUGCACGAGACUGAAUCUGGAUUCCCAUCUAGUGGCAGACGGGUGAGUAACACGUGGGUGACCUACCUUUUCGUUGGGGAUAACAGUUGGAAACGAUUGCUAAUACCGAAUAAAAUGUAAGAGUCAAUUUUACAUUGAAAGGAGCCUUUAAAGCUUCGCGAUUAGAUGGGCCUGCGGCGUAUUAACUAGUUGGUGAGGUAAUGGCUUACCAAGGUGACGAUGCGUAGCCGAACUGAGAGGUUGAUCGGCCACAUUGGGACUGAGACACGGCCCAAACUCCUACGGGAGACAGCAGUUAGGAAUAUUCGUCAAUGGAGGAAACUCUGAACGAGCAAUGCCGCGUGGGUGAUGAAGGUCUUAUAGAUUGUAAAACUCUGUUGUAUGGAAAAAACGGCUAGGUUAGGAAAUGAACUUAGUGUGAUGGUACCAUACCAGAAAGCCCCGGCUAACUACGUGCCAGCAGCCGCGGUAAUACGUAGGGGGCGAGCGUUAUCCGGAUUUAUUGGGCGUAAAGCGUGUGUAGGCGGUUUAUUAAGUUUAAGAUUAAAGCCCGGGGCUCAACUCCGGUAAGUCUUAAAAACUGGUAGACUUGAGUACGGUAGAGGCAAACGGAAUUUCUAGUGUAGCGGUGAAAUGCGUAGAUAUUAGAAGGAACACCAGUGGCGAAAGCGGUUUGCUGGGCCGUUACUGACGCUGAGGCACGAAAGCGUGGGGAGCAAAUAGGAUUAGAUACCCUAGUAGUCCACGCCGUAAACGAUGAGUACUAAGUGUUGGGGUUACCCAGUGCUGAAGCUAACGUAUUAAGUACUCCGCCUGAGUAGUACGGUCGCAAGGCUGCAACUCA